AAAGAUGAUUUCCUUCUUCCUCUUUCUCUCUGGACCGAAAAAUUUUCUUCUUCUUUCUUCUUCUCCCUCCUCUUUGGCCGAAUGCAUACUUAGAAAAAAAAAUCACUUCUCUUCUAGAGUUGAAAUCCUCCCUCCUAAGCCAAGAGAAGAGAACAUUGUCAAUUGAAGGUUUAGAGAGGAAAGUGAAGAAUAAGAUUUAACGGAGUUGAUUGAAGUUGAUGAGAGCGCGGCUAAGUUGUAAUAGAUAGGGUUACGUAAUAAGUCUUUGGGACAAUAGAUUGUUGAUGAAUUUACAUUAGACUUUGCUUUUCUCUUGGGACAACUUUUUGAGUUAAGAAUGUUGGAUUUGGAUUUAUGAACGAUUAAAUUGUUUGGUUA
Ipomoea triloba (trilobed morning glory) is the source of this 378-nucleotide long non-coding RNA. RefSeq lists it as uncharacterized. Lineage: Eukaryota; Viridiplantae; Streptophyta; Magnoliopsida; Solanales; Convolvulaceae. The record is from RefSeq and is a predicted model, not a curated record. The transcript is spliced from 3 exons.